CUAUUCCUAUCUGAGUUUGACACCUCUGUGCUGGACCAGACUCAUUCAAAGAAACACAGAGAACAAAAUUCAGAGAAAGCUUUUCCUAUCCCUUUUACUCUAGAUCCAGUGCUCUGCCCAUCACUCUAUGUUGGUGUUAUUCUAUAGAGAAACUCCAUAGUAAAAGAUUAGAACUCGCUGUUGCUCAGUCUUUUUUUUUCAGUCGUGUCAGACUUGUCAUGACCCCUUUUGAGGUUUUCUUGGCAAAGAUACUGGGGUGGUUUAACAUUUCCUUCUGCAGUUUAUUUUACAGAUGAAGAAACUGAGGCAAACAGGGUUAAGUGACUCGCUCAAGGUCACACAGCUAGUGUUUGAGGCCAGAUUUGAACUCAAGAAGAUGUAUUUCUGACUCCACGUCUUGGACUUUAUCUACUGUGCCACUCAGCUGCAAGGACCUUAAAAAUCAUAUCAAUACAUGGGAAAACAGAAAAACAACCCCCAAACUGAAUGACCGAGCCUUCCCUCCCAGCCACACUCCCUACUUCAGAGCUGCUCUGGGCACAUACUCAGGGCUGCUCUGGGGCCGUUGCCCUCUCCUGACAUUUGGAGAGAGGAGCUGGGAAGAAGAAGGAGGGGAUAAGGAAAUGAAUGCUGCCAGAAGGGCUGCCCCAAUCUGUGGUCACCGGGUGCCAAGAGAGAUGGUAUUUUCAAGGCAGAUGGUUUAUAUGCAUUAUCACCCAUUAUCCCUCCUACUGGACUCCCAAAACGUCCCAGAAGCUUGUGGAGGCUGCUUUGGCAGCAGUCAGGCAAGAAUGAGGAGGGAGCCCUCAUCCUGACCUUGAGAAGGAACAGACCAGGAGCAGAUUAGCAAGGAAAGGGAAAAAGGGCAAAAUGGGAGUAGUUGUCCCCUUGCCCUGGCAGGGAGCAUAACAGAUGGAGCCAGACCAUGAAGAAGACAGACAACUACCCGGGAAAUAACUGGACCAUCAGGGCUGGCCAAAUUGAAAACAACAUAGCAUAAAGGACAUAGCACUGCACAGAUCUCUUGAUUCCAAUUUCUGUUACUCCUUAAGUUGGGCAAACCUCUUUCCCUUUAACCUCAUUUUCUUCUUCCAUAAAAUAAGGGAAUUGAGCUAGAGGAGAUCUGUAGCCCCUUUCAAUUCUGAAAUCCUAUGAUGGUACAAAGGGAGACAGCAGGAAAUACUGGAAAGACUGCUGAACUUGGG
RNAcentral lists this long non-coding RNA (1205 nucleotides) under Monodelphis domestica (gray short-tailed opossum). RNAcentral describes it as "lncRNA (ENSMODG00000033811.2)". Lineage: Eukaryota; Metazoa; Chordata; Mammalia; Didelphimorphia; Didelphidae. The record is from RNAcentral.